RNAcentral lists this unclassified non-coding RNA (794 nucleotides) under Hevea brasiliensis (rubber tree). Lineage: Eukaryota; Viridiplantae; Streptophyta; Magnoliopsida; Malpighiales; Euphorbiaceae. The record is from RNAcentral.
AAAUUUUAAAAUAUCAAUUAAAUUAAAUUUAAAUCGCCAAAAAUAAUGUACUAAAAAGAAAGAGAGCUCAACUCAGAUUCAAACACAUUAUUAAAAAAGGCCAUCAGCCCAACUCAUGUGCUGAGGCUGAAAGUUGCGAAGGUUCCUAAAAGAUAAACAGCACAGAGCCCAACCCACCAUUGAAUUUUAACUUCAUACACAUUUUGCAUUUACUGAGAUUCUAGUACAGCAACACCUCUCAAGCUGACAAAACACACAAACGGAAAGCCAAAACGUGCGCAGGCAGUGGGCAGCCUAAGGGCACUUGGUCUUGUUGCCAUGGGUGGUCAUCUCUGUAUAGCAUUUCCCACAUACUUCUCUGUUCCCUGAGGUCCCUGGUGGCACACACUUACACCUCACACAGCACGUGCCACAUGCUCUAUUGCACAAAUUAGGUCUAGAGUGGAGGCUGCACCUCUGCUUGCAUAGCCCUCCACAAUCCAUUUCUUGCAUGAGCCUCCUGUUUCCACCUCUAACACCAAUCUGGGUAAUAUGAGCAAUUUCUUCUUCUAUCUUGAGAUCAGAUGAAACCUCUGCAAGGCAGAAGAGCAGAACGGCCGAUACAAGAAGCAAACGGACUGCCAUGGCUGCUUAGUAGAGAAAGCGAAGCGAAGAAGCAAUUUAGUGUAUAGUGCGGUGUGGCCGUGUGGGUAUCGCAGUGCGUACUCUUUAUAGAGGGGGCAUAUUGACAUCGCUGGCUGCUGGCUUGACAAAACUAGUCGUUUAUUCUGCUAAUAAUUACAAUAGGACUUGAG